Non-coding RNA from Arachis ipaensis, 2785 nucleotides. NCBI's taxonomy places the organism in Eukaryota, Viridiplantae, Streptophyta, Magnoliopsida, Fabales, Fabaceae. The record is from RefSeq and is a predicted model, not a curated record.
CAUAAAUUUAUUAUAUAAAAUAGACGGUUAAUAUGUUGAUUUUUGUUUUAACUAAAAUCGACGAACUUACCGUCGAUUUUUAUCAACAAAAAAUUAUACCCGCGUUUAUUACCCGCGUCCUUCGUUUCGAUCGAUUUCCCAAACAUUAACCCCAAACCUCCAGAGACUCAAAAGUUCAGAGUGAAGCUGCUGCUGCUUCUUCUUCUCCAACGCUUGAGAGUAGAGACCAGAGACGGAGCCACCGUUACGGAGAGAGGCAGAGAGCAGAUCAGUAGAGCUUCUUCUUCUCCGACGAUUGAGAAAACCCACCGUCCUCCGUCGGAGAGCAGAGCAGCUUCUUCUUCUUCUCCUCCUCCACCGAGCCCGCCGCCGCGCCAUCCUGUUCAUGUAAGUUCCUCUCAGUCUCUCUGAUCAUUAUACUUAUUUUUGCGGUUGUUGUAUCUACUAUCUACUAUUUUCAUAAUGAAAUUCUGAAUUUGCGUUUGUUAAUAACAAUCGCAUCACUAAAACCUAGUUAGCAUAAUCAAUUCAUCACAUUUCAUCAAUCGCUUCGUCUCUCUGUGCCGUUGUUGCUGCUGCCUUCAAUUGACCGUGCUCAAUCAAAAUCAGGUACUCUCUCUCUUUCGUUCUUCAAUUGAUUUUUUUUUCAUCAAUAAAAAAUUUGCUCAGCAUUUGUAGAUGAUUCACUACUUUUCUCAAUGAUAUAGGUCUUCAAUUCAAAGAUUGAUGAAGGAAGAAAGGCAUUGCGGGUGUUAUCACUACUUUUGUUCAUUUUUCUGUGUUAUCCUGCAAUUUUGUAUUCUUUCUUCAUGACUGACAUGGAUUUAUAGGAUUCUUCUCUAUUUUCGGUGUUAGUUCUCUAAUUUUUUAUUAAGUUAGAUUCAAUGAUCAACUAUAUGUAACCUCGUUUUAUGCUGAAGAAAUCUGUAAAGAACUUCAGUUCUCUACACAGGUUUCUUAAAAUGUCUCUGUAUUAUAAAGAAGCAAUCACAUUUAUUUCUUUUUUGUAGCACUUGUGGCUGGUUUUGAGGUAUGCAAUUCUCAAUUUGGAAGUUAUUCAAGCAGCAAUCUCUUUGGCCAAACAGGAAGGUCUUCUUGUUUCUUUGGAUUUGGCCAAUUUUGAGAUGGUGAGGAAAUUUAAGCCACCACUUAUGAAGUUAUUGGAGUCUGGCAAUAUAGACCUCUGUUUUACCAAUCAGGAUGAAGCAACGGAACUUCAAUUGUAAUUUUUUCUGCUGGCUUCUUUCCCAAUCUCGUUCUCUUUUGCUUUAGUUGGAAAAUGUGUAGUUGACUCUGUUGUGAACUGUUUGCUGUUGUGCAUUGAUCACUUGGAGAACAUGACUAACUAUACAAUCAUGGUAGUUUGGUUCACACUGCAGGAAUUCGUUCUCAAGCCAUUGCCUCCCAAUAUAGUGCAUAUCAGGAUCUGAUUCAUGAAGCUUUCUAAAGAAAGCUAGUGUUCUCAUUGCUCUUGCAAUGGCUGCUGGCAUUAGAGGGGUUGUGGCUGGAGAGCUUGAACUGAAUCAUGAAUGCAGUUUGAUGCACUGGUUGCCAGAGGAUUUCGAAUAUAAAUUGCAGGUGGAAAGUGAGAUUGUGUCUGCAUUCUUGAGAGGAAAAGAACGCCAUUUGUUAGAUUUGGACCUUAAUGCCGUACUUGGAUUCAUUGAUGAUUUCUGCAUAUGGGUGAUACUUUAUUUUAAAGACAGAGUUCUCAAUUUGCUCUAGUGGUCUCAGAUAUAGUUCUUAUAAACAUGUAAGUUUCCUUUUCAAAAGUUUUCCUGUAUAGAAAGAAAUUAAGCUUCUUUCCUUUUCGUAUUUCUUUCACUUUAUUAGAACUGUCAAUAGAACUGAAUGUUAUGUUAAGGUGAUUUCAUUCUAUUUGGAUUCAAUUCAUACACGUUGAAUCUUACUUUGCUAUUGGAUUGUAUAAAGAGCUAAAACAUGUAGCAUAAAGGAUUUGCAAAUGAAAUAACAACUUAUUCCUUAUUGUUUUCCUACACAGGUGGAAGAAGAAGACAAAGAAAUAGAUAGCUUUCUCAAAAUACAUUGUAUCUUUCUCAAAAUAUGUCUUAACAACAACUUAUUCUUUAUUGUUAUCCUACAACUGUAUGUUUUAACAUGUAUCUUUCUCAAAAUAUGUUGUUAAUACCAAAUGUGUCUUGCACUCUUGUUUCAGGGUGAGAAAAAGAAGACAGAAUACAAAAAUUGAGAAGUAUUGGGACUGGAAAUUGGCCAAUGAAACAAACCCAAUAUAGAUGAGGCAGCCCCAAGGAAGUCGAAAAGGAAGAGUACAAUAAAUUCUACAGGAAGACUUUUAACAAGUUCUUAGAACCGCUUGCUCAUACUCAGUUCACCACCGAGAUAUUUUGAUUUGAUGAUAUUUUAGUAACUUUUGUUAGAACAUUUUCUUUAGAGAGCUAAUAUUAUAAACUCUUUACAUUCUAGUAACAUGAAUGAAUGAUAUAUUGUAUGUUAGGAAUGAUUCUUAUUUAUUUAUUUAUUUAGAAAUGUGCUUCCCAAAGUGUUGUCUUGACAAUGUUUUAAUUGCAGGUAAGAAUAAUGAAGAAGAAACUUGUCAGACCCAAAGCUCACAUGUUCUGGUAGCUUUACAAGAGUCCUUAUAGAGUGAAAGAUCCAUCAAAAUCAUGGCCAAUUAUUCUGUGGUUACAACUUACAAGGAGGACCUGCAAUAACUACUUAUAUGUAUGGUUUUAGAUUGAAAUAUUGUGAAUAGUAAUAUAUAAUUGUUGAAACAUUUUAAUGAAUAGGGUGCUUCACGAGUUGG